AGGGUUUGAUCAUGGCUCAGAACGUACGCUGGCGGCACGCCUAACACAUGCAAGUCGAACGAAGUAGCAAUACUUAGUGGCAGACGGGUGAGUAACAUGUAGGUAUCUGCCCUUUGGCCUGGAAUAACACGAGGAAACUUGUGCUAAUACCGGAUAAGUCUUUACGGAGAAAGCUUUAUGCACCAUUGGAUGAGCCUGCACUUGAUUAGUUUGUUGGUGGGGUAAUGGCCUACCAAGACUGUGAUCAAUAGCUGAUUUGAGAGGAUGAUCAGCCACAUUGGGACUGAGACACGGCCCAAACUCCUACGGGAGGCAGCAGUGGGGAAUCUUGCACAAUGGAGGAAACUCUGAUGCAGCGAUGCCGCGUGAGUGAAGAAGGCCCUUGGGUUGUAAAGCUCUUUCGUCGGGGAAGAAAAUGACUGUACCCGAAUAAGAAGGUCCGGCUAACUUCGUGCCAGCAGCCGCGGUAAUACGAAGGGACCUAGCGUAGUUCGGAAUUACUGGGCUUAAAGAGUUCGUAGGUGGUUGAAAAAGUUAGUGGUGAAAUCCCAGAGCUUAACUCUGGAACUGCCAUUAAAACUUUUCAGCUAGAGUAUGAUAGAGGAAAGCAGAAUUUCUAGUGUAGAGGUGAAAUUCGUAGAUAUUAGAAAGAAUACCAAUUGCGAAGGCAGCUUUCUGGAUCAUUACUGACACUGAGGAACGAAAGCAUGGGUAGCGAAGAGGAUUAGAUACCCUCGUAGUCCAUGCCGUAAACGAUGUGUGUUAGACGUUGGAAAUUUAUUUUCAGUGUCGCAGGGAAACCGAUAAACACACCGCCUGGGGAGUACGACCGCAAGGUUAAAACUCAAAUGAAUUGACGGGGACCCGCACAAGUAGUGGAGCAUGUGGUUUAAUUCGAAGAUACGCGCAGAACCUUACCAACACUUGACAUGUUCGUCGCGACUCUAAGAGAUUAGAGUUUUCGGUUCGGCCGGACGAAACACAGGUGCUGCAUGGCUGUCGUCAGCUCGUGUCGUGAGAUGUUGGGUUAAGUCCCGCAACGAGCGCAACCCUCACUUUUAGUUGCCAUCAUUAAGUUGGGCACUCUGAAAGAACUGCCAGUGAUAAGCUGGAGGAAGGUGGGGAUGACGUCAAGUCCUCAUGGCCCUUACGUGUUGGGCUACACACGUGCUACAAUGGUAUCUACAACAGGAAGCAAGACUGCGAGGUCAAGCAAAUCCUUAAAAGAUACCUCAGUUCGGAUUGCACUCUGCAACUCGAGUGCAUGAAGCUGGAAUUACUAGUAAUCGUGGAUCAGCGUGCCACGGUGAAUGCGUUCCCGGGUCUUGUACACACCGCCCGUCACACCAUGGGAGUUGGUUCUACCUUAAGGCAAGGUUUCAAACCCUUGACCACGGUAUAGUCAGCGACUGGGGUGAAGUCAUAACAAGGUAACCGUA
Molecule: ribosomal RNA, 1439 nt
Filed under: uncultured bacterium
Lineage: Bacteria
Description: bacterial SSU rRNA
Rfam family: Bacterial small subunit ribosomal RNA
Source: RNAcentral